This 75-nucleotide transfer RNA is filed under the name Bacteroidota bacterium. RNAcentral describes it as "tRNA-Val". It matches the Rfam family "tRNA". From Rfam's summary of the family: Transfer RNA (tRNA) molecules are approximately 80 nucleotides in length. RNAcentral also lists the same sequence under 1 other name. The record is from RNAcentral. Lineage: Bacteria; Pseudomonadati; Bacteroidota.
GGGCCAUUAACUCAGUUGGUUUAGAGUGUUACCUUGACAGGGUAGAAGUCACUGGUUCGAGUCCAGUAUGGCCCA